GAUGAACGCUGGCGGCGUGCCUAACACAUGCAAGUCGAGCGGACGGAGGGGGAGCUUGCUUCGCUUCUGCGAGCGGCGGACGGGUGAGUAACACGUGGAUACCUGGCCGAGAGGGCUGACAUACCGACGGGAAAGCUAAGCCAGCACCCGUCAUGAGUGUGAACCGCAGGGUUCAUCAGAGAUAGACGGUCCUGCUGUCACUUAGAGAGGGUUGCGCGCUGCAUUAGCUAGUUGGUAAGGUAACGGCGUACCAAGGCGAGGAUGCGUAGCCGAUCUGAGAGGGUGAUCAGCCACACUGGAACUGAGACACGGUCCAGACUCCUACGGGAGGCAGCAGUGGGGAAUAUUCCGCAAUGGGCGAAAGCCUGAUCCAGCAACGCCGCGUGAGUGAUGAAGGUCUUCGGAUUGUAAAACUCUGUAAGUAGGGAGGAAGGUAAGUGUGUGUAAAUGUGCCCAUCUUGACGGUACCUACUGAAUAAGCACCGGCUAACUACGUG
This 497-nucleotide ribosomal RNA is filed under the name uncultured bacterium. RNAcentral describes it as "partial 16S ribosomal RNA". It matches the Rfam family "Bacterial small subunit ribosomal RNA", at positions 28 to 507 of the family's 1533-position model. The record is from RNAcentral.